GGAAUCUUCCACAAUGGGCGAAAGCCUGAUGGAGCAACGCCGCGUGUGUGAUGAAGGGUUUCGGCUCGUAAAACACUAUUGUAAGAGAAGAAUGACAUUGAGAGUAACUGUUCAAUGUGUGACGGUAUCUUACCAGAAAGGAACGGCUAAAUACGUGCCAG
This 161-nucleotide ribosomal RNA is filed under the name uncultured bacterium. Its description in RNAcentral is "partial 16S rRNA". It matches the Rfam family "Bacterial small subunit ribosomal RNA", at positions 358 to 511 of the family's 1533-position model. The record is from RNAcentral.